This 3100-nucleotide long non-coding RNA is filed under the name Sus scrofa (pig). RNAcentral's name for it is "lncRNA (ENSSSCG00005042367.1)". Lineage: Eukaryota; Metazoa; Chordata; Mammalia; Artiodactyla; Suidae. The record is from RNAcentral.
AUCUUAGGUUUUUGAAUGACCAACAAUUUAACAUAUUCCAUGCUAUCAUCUGUCUUCCUGGCUUUUUCCUAGGAAUUAGUUUGCUCUUAAAGUCAAUGCAGAUUAUGUUUUAUAGCCAGAGGCAAAGGAUUAAAAAAUAAUGUUAUGUCAUCUUAUUAUAGGAAAAAAAGUUCUUAAGGGCUAUGACUAGUUUUUGUGACUCGAUGUCCAGAUAUAUGUCAAUAGUAUGUGGCAAAAGAUAUUUUCAAAAGCUUUUGGAAGUUUAAAGUAUGUCUUCUCAAGAUAGUGAACGUAUGGUUCAGUGAUAGGAAUUUAUUGGUCAGUUGAUCUUGUCUGUAUCUGGUUGCUUUGAUCGAAAACAGAACUGACAGAAUUGUCAAUGUGAGUGGAAAUGUACUUAAAUGACAGCUCUCUCCUUGAACAUUGAAGGUUUGGCCUUUAAGCACUGAUCUGUUAUCAGGUUGAUAAGCCUAACUAUGAAGUCUGUUUGGUAAUUUAGCUUUAGAAGGUCUUAUGUCUUAUGUUACGUAUGUGGUCCAGAUAUGGAAGCAAACCUAUGGAGGGGCUAUUUUUUUAAAUUAUUUUUGCUACUUCCUAAGUAGAAUUUUUAUUCAUUACAGUUAGCCUUUGUAAUUUUUUGAAUUACAGUAGUCUUUAAAUUUUUCACUAUGAGAUUUUAAGGUUUUAAGUAACCCUUUAAUAUUUAUCACUUAGCUUAAUAAUACCACUUAGCUGCCUCAUCAUAGUUUUUUUCUCUAAUGUUACUUUAAUUUUUAUUCUUUGAAGUAUUUUAAACAUUUUUAUUAUGGCUUAUAGAACUACUGAAUUAUUCAGACAUGUGUUUUUAAGUUUCAAAUAUGUGAAGUUUUUAUGUUUUCUUGUUACUGGCUUAUUCUCCUUUUAUGUUUUCAAUAUUAUCUCUUGUAAUUAUCCCCAUUCUCAUCUGUACUGUACAUAAUUUUCUUAGGUACUUUCUGAACUCCCUUUUAAGCAUAUACAUAUUUGUUCUAGUUUGUUUUCUAUUUCAAAAGAGCAAACAAAACUUUUGACCCCACAUUACCCUUUGUACAAAUCAUUUUUUAGUUCUCGUUUACAGUGUCAAUUUUUGAAGAUGCCCUUAGAGUUGCUGUUUCCACUUUGUCACCUCCCAUUCUUGUAACCCCUUUCAGCCAGGCUGCAGUCCCCACAGUUCUCCUGCAAUUUUUUUUUUUUUUUUUUUUUUUUUUUUUUUUUGCUUUAGGUACUGAGUUCUGAUUAUUGAGUGGAUAAACUUUAAUGAUUGUUGUAUCCUUUGGAUGAAUUGACCCCUUUAUUAUUAUGAAAUGAUCUUCUACUUGAUAAUAUUCUUUGCUGUGAGAUCUAUCCUAGCUGAUAUUCAUAUAUCCAUUCUAGUUUUCUUUUGAUUAAUGUUAGUAUGAUAUUCUUCUAUCUUCAUACUUUUAGUCUAUUGUUGUCUUUGCAUUUAAAGAUUGUUUCUUAUAAGAAUGGAUCUCAUUUUUUUUAUCCAAUAUGCUAAGCUCUUCCUCUAAAUUAGUUGGUUAAGGUCAUUCAUGUUUCAUGUGAUUAAACACAUGAUUAGAUUUAAAUCUAUUGUCAGCUUUAAUGUCAUUUCUGCUGAUUAUAAUGUACUCUGUUCUACAUUGGUUUUGAUUUAUUGAAUUUUCUGAUUAUGAAUUGUGUUUUCCUGCUUCUUUGCAUGACUGAUAUUUUUUUGAUUGAGUAUCAGACAUUUUGCAUUUUUACCUUCUUGGGUGCUGGGUAUUUGUACAUUUCUAUAAAUAUUCUUGAUAUUUGUCUUUGGAUAAAGUUAAGUUUGGUCUUUUUGAGUCUUCUUUUUCAUAUUUGUAGGUGGAACAAGAGUGAUGUUUAACCUAGGGUUAAUUGUCCUCUACCAUGAGGAGGGACCCUUCUGUGUACUCUACCCAGUGCCCCACGAAUUAUGAUGCUUUCCAGUAUUACUGGAAGGGACAGACGCUAUCUCCUGUGUGAGUAUUAUGUACUCCUUCUUACUCUCUGAAGGUCCUUUUCCUUGACUCUGGUAGUAACCUUAUAUGAAUAGACUGACCAGUCUUUUGAGGAAUACUCUAGGUAGAGGCUGUACAUUUCUUAGAGUUUUCUCCCUGUGUACUUCUGUAACCCUGUCGUGCACAUUCUAGCUGCUUUUAUUUCUUUAAGUUCCCACCAAGGUCACCCUAACUCAGCACAUCUUCCUGACUGUGCCUGGGUUUCCUUUCCCAGUGGAAGCCCAGGAAACUCUCAAAGCAGUAAACUAGGAUGUAUACCUGUUAACUCCUGCCUCCCAAUCUCAAGGAUCAUGGUAUUUCAUUGCCUGUCAUCCAGCUUCUUGAAAUUCCUUGGUUCACGUAUUUUAUCUUUUUUUUUUUUUAUUAUUAUUAUCAUUCACUUCUGGUAGGUAAGCAAGUCUAGUCCACAUUACUCUUGACCAGAAAGCAAAACUCAAAAUCCUUUUUGAGUUUUCAUUAGUAUAACUGCUUUCUCAGAAUGAAUUCUCCCAUGUGUGGAAUGGAUUGACUGUCUUUUGAGUAUUGAACUUACUUGUACUUGAGAAAUCUUGUUUUGUGCUCAUCUUUUGAGUGCUGUUUUCCUUUAUAGGCCCUUCCAGUGAGUUAAAUUUGAGCUUUGUGUUGUUAGUUGGACAGACUCAAUUUGUAUCAGUGCUUUGACUUGUGGUUUUGCCCAGUCAAAGACAGCCUCCAACACAGAAAAAAUAUAAGUCUGUUUCAAAUCAGACUCACUACAUCCUGACCACAGUGAUCAACUGAUUUUUGUUAGGUGGGCGAGGAGUGGAGAAGUGGGUACUAUUCCUAUCUUCAUUCAGAUAACUCAUUUUUAGUUCCUGCCUUGGGGGCCAAAAUGGGCAUAUUCCUGAUAGCCUCUCCAUAAUGCCUGCAGUCCUGUCUUCCCCGUGAGCUACUACUGAUUUCAGCCUCUGCCUAGUCCUCUGAGUUUCCUAUUCAUUUCUGAUUUAUGGAGAUUUUCUUUACUUGGAUCUUUGAAAUAUGACAUGUUUUCUAUUAAGUUUGUGUUUUGAGAGCAGAAAGGGAGAGGGUUCCAUUCAUGUUUAGUCUACUAUUUCACU